RNAcentral lists this ribosomal RNA (371 nucleotides) under uncultured rumen protozoa. Its description in RNAcentral is "bacterial SSU rRNA". It matches the Rfam family "Eukaryotic small subunit ribosomal RNA", at positions 394 to 848 of the family's 1831-position model. The record is from RNAcentral.
GCCUGAGAUCGGCUACUACUUCUACGGGGGCGGCGGGGCGUAAAUUACUCAAUCUGAGAGGGAGGAGAAAGAAAGAUAUAACAACGUGAUUUUUAAUCUCGAUUGUAAUGAUGGUCUUCUUGAUAGAGCCUAUAGUACGAUAAGAGGGCAAGUCUGGUGCCAGCAGCCGCGGUAAUUCCAGCUCUAAUAGCGUAUAUUAAAGUUGCUGCAGUUAAAAAGCUCGUAUUGGAUUUCAGGGAAGGAUGCUCUCAUGAGUUUACAUCCUAUCAGACUUUGACUGUUAUGUUGAGAAAAUUAAAGUGUUCAGGCAGGCCUUAGCAAGAUUACUUUAGAUGGAAUAACGAAUGUUCCAGAACCUUGGUAAUCCAGGG